GACGAACGCUGGCGGCGUGCUUAACACAUGCCAGUCGAACGAAGUGGCGAACGGGUGAGUAACGCGUAAUCAACCUGCCCUUCAGAGGGGGAACACAGUUGGCAACGACUGCUAAUACCGCAUACUGAAGGAGGGGAUUGCGUCUGAUUCGCUAGUUGGAGGGGUAACGGCCCACCAAGGCGAUGCUCAGUAGCCGGACUGAGAGGAUGAACGGCAACAUUGGGACGGAGACACGGCCCAGACGCCUACGGGAGGCAGCAGUGGGGAGUAUUCCGAAAUGGACGAAAGUCUGACGGAGCAACGCCGCGUGAGUGAUGACGGCCUUCGGGUUGUAAAGCUCUGUUACUCGAGACGCGGUACCGGAAUGGAAAGCCACGGCUAACUACAUGCCAGCAGCCGCGGUAAUAG
RNAcentral lists this ribosomal RNA (408 nucleotides) under uncultured bacterium. RNAcentral's name for it is "partial 16S ribosomal RNA". It matches the Rfam family "Bacterial small subunit ribosomal RNA", at positions 28 to 526 of the family's 1533-position model. The record is from RNAcentral.